This 784-nucleotide long non-coding RNA is filed under the name Elaeis guineensis (African oil palm). RNAcentral describes it as "long non-coding RNA (EGUI_LNC078758)". Lineage: Eukaryota; Viridiplantae; Streptophyta; Magnoliopsida; Arecales; Arecaceae. The record is from RNAcentral.
CCUUGCUUUUCUCCACGCGAACUCCUCUCCUUUGGGACAUGAGGACCUGGUGAUUAUCUCCAAAAAACCAUCCCAUAUGCUGGGUUUUUAUAGGCCAAAAGAGAGUUUGAAAUUGGAUAGGAAUCAAGAGUCCAAAACAAGUAGGAUUCUUGAAUUUUUGUGACGUCAACUCCAACCAUAAUUUUGCCUAAAAUUUUACACGGUAACCAGGGAUUUCUUACUCCUUACAUGCUAAUAAGGGGAGGAAAAAGUGACAUUAAACUGGUUUAGGGCGUGGAUCUAUUGGGCGCACAAAUUCAGUUCAACUUCGGACUCCUUUUUGUGCAUGGAAUCAAGGAAUUUCGUGAUCAUGAGACUCUUGUUUAAAUUACUGUUUUAAAUCCAAUUAAAAUACCAAUUAAUCUUAAUCAUAUUAGGACCAGAUUAGACUCAAAUAAAUAGAAAUUCAAAUCUGAUUUGGAGCCCAAUUAAUUUAGAUUAGAUGUCUCCUAAAUGGAGGAGUCCUAGUCCUAUUGAACUCUUUCUUAGUGCUUGAGUCAAUCUCAAUUUUUUAAUCCUAAUCCAAUUAGAAUUUGGUGCAUCCAAGAAAAUGAGGAUUCCUAAUCCAAAUAGGAAUUCAUAUAUUCUAGUUUAAUUAGGAAUUGGGUCAAACCCAAAUCCUAAUUCAACUGGGACUAAUCAUUCGAUCCUUUUGGGAUUAUCCUAUAACCCUAUUGGGGUUGAUCAAAUCAAAUCCAUAAUGAGUCAAAUUAAAUCCAAUCAAAUUGGACUUGAUGCAAACCCC